Molecule: ribosomal RNA, 462 nt
Filed under: uncultured Thauera sp.
Lineage: Bacteria; Pseudomonadati; Pseudomonadota; Betaproteobacteria; Rhodocyclales; Zoogloeaceae
Description: bacterial SSU rRNA
Rfam family: Bacterial small subunit ribosomal RNA
Source: RNAcentral
ACCCGCACAAGCGGUGGAUGAUGUGGAUUAAUUCGAUGCAACGCGAAAAACCUUACCUACCCUUGACAUGUCUGGAACCUUGCUGAGAGGCGAGGGUGCCUUCGGGAGCCAGAACACAGGUGCUGCAUGGCUGUCGUCAGCUCGUGUCGUGAGAUGUUGGGUUAAGUCCCGCAACGAGCGCAACCCUUGUCUCUAGUUGCCACCAUUCAGUUGGGCACUCUAGAGAGACUGCCGGUGAUAAACCGGAGGAAGGUGGGGACGACGUCAAGUCCUCAUGGCCUUUAUGCCCAGGGCUACACACGUGCUACAAUGGAUCGUACAAAGGGUCGCGAACCCGCGAGGGGGAGCCAAUCCCAAAAACCGGUCCUCAGUUCGGAUUGGAGUCUGCAACUCGACUCCAUGAAGUUGGAAUCGCUAGUAAUCGUGGAUCAGCAUGCCACGGUGAAUACGUUCCCGGGCCUU